This 532-nucleotide ribosomal RNA is filed under the name Bachia guianensis. Its description in RNAcentral is "partial 16S ribosomal RNA". It matches the Rfam family "Bacterial large subunit ribosomal RNA", at positions 1809 to 2620 of the family's 2925-position model. The record is from RNAcentral. Lineage: Eukaryota; Metazoa; Chordata; Lepidosauria; Squamata; Gymnophthalmidae.
AAAAACAUAGCCUUUAGCAACAAGAGUAUUAAAGGUGACGCCUGCCCAGUGAUUCAUUAAACGGCCGCGGGAUCCUCCACCGUGCAAAGGUAGCAUAAUCACUUGUCCCCUAAAUAGAGACUAGUAUGAAUGGCCAAAUGAAGAUUUACCUGUCUCUUAUAGUCAAUCUAUGAAACUAAUCUUUUAGUACAAAAGCUAAAAUAUAGACACAAGACGAAAAGACCCUGUGGAACUUUCUAAAUGACAAACAAUAAAUGUUUACAUCGCUUUUAGUUGGGGCAACUUUGGAAAAAAAUACAACUUCCAAUUACUACUUAAGGUGGACACACCAACAAUACCCUUAAUGACCCAGUAAUACUGAUUAAAGAAACAAGCUACCCCAGGGAUAACAGCGCCAUCCCCUCUUAGAGCCCCCAUCGAUGAGGGGGUUUACGACCUCGAUGUUGGAUCAGGGCCCCCAAACAGUGCAGAAGCUGUUAACGGUUUGUUUGUUCAACAAUUAAUGCCCUACGUGAUCUGAGUUCAGACCGGA